Non-coding RNA from Podarcis muralis (Common wall lizard), 549 nucleotides. The record is from RefSeq and is a predicted model, not a curated record. NCBI's taxonomy places the organism in Eukaryota, Metazoa, Chordata, Lepidosauria, Squamata, Lacertidae.
AAAUCAGGAAGUUGUCUUGUAUCAAAUCAGGCUGCUGGGGUAUUUGUUAUACACUGGCUGGCAGCAGCUCUCCAGGGUUUCAAACAGAUGUCUUUCUCAGCUUUACCUGGGACUUUCAGCAGGCAAAGCAGGUAGUCUCCCUCUGGACUGUGGCCCUUUCCCCGCCUAGCCUGACGAUUGAGAUCGAGCUUGUGUAUGAAUCUCCAGGUCAUGCUCUGAUGGGCAAAUGGCUGAGCCUCUAUGACCCAGCUAAUCUCAAUGCCGGACUAAGGGGCUAUGUGAAAGUUCACCUCUGUGUCCUUGGAGCUGGAGAUCAGGCGCCGGUAAAAAUCUUUACAUUACAACAUCUUCACCACCUCAACAGAGGCUUGUCACGGGCAUUCAAGUUCAUGUGAUGCCAUUGGCAGCUAUUAAAAUGAUGGGGUGCCUUGUUUGGAUCAUUUUUCAAGACUGGUAGGUCAGACGCCUGUGGGACGCGGGUGGCGCUGUGGGUAAAUCCUCAGCGCCUAGGGCUUGCCGAUCGCAUGGUCGGCGGUUCGAAUCCCCGCG